RNAcentral lists this long non-coding RNA (513 nucleotides) under Felis catus (domestic cat). RNAcentral describes it as "lncRNA (ENSFCAG00000042499.2)". The record is from RNAcentral. Lineage: Eukaryota; Metazoa; Chordata; Mammalia; Carnivora; Felidae.
GUGGCAAACAAAUGACUCCAAGGUCACAAUUUGGGGGAACAUUAUGGGAGAACUAAACAACCAGAAGUCACAUAUUUGGUAUUCCUUGUGGUCUGUUUCCUUGGGAACCUUAUGGCAAGGGACAACUGUGGUCUGGAGCAAGAUUCAGGUAUUUCUGGGUUUUUUGACUAAAAAAAUCUUAUUAAAUCUAGUAAAUUUUAUUUCAACUUUUAACUGUUUGACUUGGUCAUUGAUAUACUUUUUGAGGGUAAUUAUAGGAAAAUUGAAACUAGACAAUGUAAAGUGUUUUUAGAUGAUAGCUUUUCAGUGGAAUUUGGAUCAUUCCUAUAGGAUUUGACAUACUAAUAUAUGAUAUGUACACUUUUUAAGACUUGGUCAGCCUCUUUAUUAGGGCUCACUUGUACCAAAAUCAGAUUUGUUUCUGGAUAUAUCAAGGAUGAUUUUUCAAGAGGUAAUGAAUUUCAAAUUGUCUUCAAGCUUUUUAAUAAAGGAUAGGAGUUUGGGAGGGUUCCA